Molecule: long non-coding RNA, 893 nt
Filed under: Carassius auratus (goldfish)
Lineage: Eukaryota; Metazoa; Chordata; Actinopteri; Cypriniformes; Cyprinidae
Description: lncRNA (ENSCARG00000022418.1)
Source: RNAcentral
AUGGAGAGCUCCGACAAAAGUCGAAAAGGCUUGCGGACCCGGACAAAAAGGAAUGACAGCGUGGAGAUGGAUGCAUUGGAUAAGACGUGCGUCAGUGGCACUAGUAUUGUCUCCGUGGCCCCAAUGGCACAUCUGGCAGACAAAGGAAAAUCCCAUGAGUUGGAGAUGUGUAAGCUGAGAGUAGAGUGGCAAAAAGAGAAGAUUGAUGAGCUGACCAAGGAGAGAGACUAUUUAAAAGGGACAACACAGAUGAAUCUUCCUCUGAUACUACGUCUGACACCUUGGCUACAUCCUCAUCAGAGGAGGACAGGAAGAAGAAGAGGACAAAAAGGAAGGGGAAAAGAAAAAAGUAUGGGAAGAAGUCAAAGAAAAUGGAAAUGAAGACACGUCAGAGAGGUUAGAAUGCUGUUUACACCCUUUCCACUCACCGGGUUAUGGUUUGCCAUUGGUUAUGUCUGCUGUACAUUUGUUUCUCUCUUGGCUGGUUCUUCCUGCAUGAUGUUACAUUGUGUGUGUGUGUGUGUGUGUUAUAAAAAUUGCAUUGGGGAUUUACUUCUUAGAGAAAAAUGGUAUAUGUGAGGAUUUCCAGUCAGGAUUUAGACCGUAUCAUAGUACUGAAACUGCUCUCCUUAGAGUUACAAAUGAUCUGCUCUUAUCAUCUGAUCAUGGGUGUAUCUCUCUAUUAGUUUUAUUGGAUCUUAGUGCUGCGUUUGACACAAUUGACCACAACAUUCUUUUGCAUAGACUUGAACACUUUGUUGGCAUCAGUGGAAGUGCAUUAGCAUGGUUUAAAUCGUACUUAUAUGACCGCCAUCAGUUCGUAGCAGUGAAUGAAGAUGUAUCAUAUCGAUCACAAGUGCAGUAUGGAGUACCUCAAGGCUCAGUUCUAGGGC